This 450-nucleotide ribosomal RNA is filed under the name uncultured bacterium. RNAcentral's name for it is "partial 16S ribosomal RNA". It matches the Rfam family "Bacterial small subunit ribosomal RNA", at positions 354 to 796 of the family's 1533-position model. The record is from RNAcentral.
GUGGGGAAUAUUGGACAAUGGGCGAAAGCCUGAUCCAGCCAUGCCGCGUGUGUGAAGAAGGUCUUCGGAUUGUAAAGCACUUUAAGUUGGGAGGAAGGGCAGUAAGUUAAUACCUUGCUGUUUUGACGUUACCGACAGAAUAAGCACCGGCUAACUUCGUGCCAGCAGCCGCGGUAAUACGAAGGGUGCAAGCGAUAAUCGGAAUUACUGGGCGUAAAGCGCGCGUAGGUGGUUUUGUAAGUUGGAGGAGAAAUCCCCGGGCUCAACCUGGGAACUGCCUCCAAAACUGCAUGACUAGAGUACGGUAGAGGGUAGUGGAAUUUCCUGUGUAGCGGUGAAAUGCGUAGAUAUAGGAAGGAACACCAGUGGCGAAGGCGACUACCUGGACUGAUACUGACACUGAGGUGCGAAAGCGUGGGGAGCAAACAGGAUUAGAUACCCGGGUAGUCC